AGUGAACGCUGGCGGUAGGCCUAACACAUGCAAGUCGAACGGCAGCACAGUAAGAGCUUGCUCUUACGGGUGGCGAGUGGCGGACGGGUGAGGAAUACAUCGGAAUCUACUUUUUCGUGGGGGAUAACGUAGGGAAACUUACGCUAAUACCGCAUACGACCUACGGGUGAAAGCAGUGGAUCUUCGGACCUUGCGCGAUUGAAUGAGCCGAUGUCGGAUUAGCUAGUUGGCGGGGUAAAGGCCCACCAAGGCGACGCUCCGUAGCUGGUCUGAGAGGAUGAUGAGCCACAAUGGAACUGAGACACGGUCCAGACUCCUACGGGAGGGAGCAGUGGGGAAUAUUGGACAAUGGGCGCAAGCCUGAUCCAGCCAUACCGCGUGGGUGAAGAAGGCCUUCGGGUUGUAAAGCCCUUUUGUUGGGAAAGAAAAGCAGCAGGUUAAUACCCCGCUGUUCUGACGGUACCCAAAGAAUAAGCACCGGCUAACUUCGUG
Molecule: ribosomal RNA, 492 nt
Filed under: uncultured bacterium
Lineage: Bacteria
Description: partial 16S ribosomal RNA
Rfam family: Bacterial small subunit ribosomal RNA
Source: RNAcentral